RNAcentral lists this small RNA (100 nucleotides) under Klebsiella pneumoniae. RNAcentral's name for it is "partial RtT sRNA". It matches the Rfam family "RtT RNA", at positions 1 to 97 of the family's 130-position model. Rfam says of the family: This family represents a bacterial cis-regulatory element known as RtT RNA. The exact function of RtT is unknown although it is thought that it may be involved in changing the cellular response in relation to amino acid starvation. The record is from RNAcentral. Lineage: Bacteria; Pseudomonadati; Pseudomonadota; Gammaproteobacteria; Enterobacterales; Enterobacteriaceae.
UGCAUCUGGGGCCAGUGAGGAUGAGAACCUCCGGGGGCAGGAGGUUCGACUCGAGCGAAGCGAGAGAACGUUGCGUCAGCAACGGCCCGCAGGGCGAGCC